GUCUACGGCCAACCUGAAAAAGCUCGAUCCCAACUGAUCUUGGAAGCUAAGCAGGGACGGUCUUGGUUAGUACUUGGAUGGGAGACCACAUAGGAAGACUGGGUGCUGUAGGCA
RNAcentral lists this ribosomal RNA (114 nucleotides) under Pteropus alecto (black flying fox). The record is from RNAcentral. Lineage: Eukaryota; Metazoa; Chordata; Mammalia; Chiroptera; Pteropodidae.